UCGGGGGCAUCAGUAUUCAAUUGUCAGAGGUGAAAUUCUUGGAUUUAUUGAAGACUAACUACUGCGAAAGCAUUUGCCAAGGAUGUUUUCAUUAAUCAGUGAACGAAAGUUAGGGGAUCGAAGACGAUCAGAUACCGUCGUAGUCUUAACCGUAAACUAUGCCGACUAGGGAUCGGGCGAUGUUCUUUUUCUGACUCGCUCGGCACCUUACGAGAAAUCAAAGUUUUUGGGUUCUGGGGGGAGUAUGGUCGCAAGGCUGAAACUUAAAGAAAUUGACGGAAGGGCACCACCAGGCGUGGAGCCUGCGGCUUAAUUUGACUCAA
RNAcentral lists this ribosomal RNA (323 nucleotides) under Phoma sp. 4 DA-2012. RNAcentral describes it as "SSU rRNA". It matches the Rfam family "Eukaryotic small subunit ribosomal RNA", at positions 882 to 1203 of the family's 1831-position model. The record is from RNAcentral. Lineage: Eukaryota; Fungi; Ascomycota; Dothideomycetes; Pleosporales; Didymellaceae.